AUCUAGGGCUCAGUGGUAGAGCACUUGCCUGGCAUGUGUGAGGCCCUGGGUUCGAUCCUCAGCACCACAUA
This 71-nucleotide transfer RNA is filed under the name Marmota monax (woodchuck). Its description in RNAcentral is "tRNA.Ala". Lineage: Eukaryota; Metazoa; Chordata; Mammalia; Rodentia; Sciuridae. The record is from RNAcentral.